AACGAACGCUGGCGGCAGGCUUAACACAUGCAAGUCGAACGCUUCACCUUCGGGGUGGGGAGUGGCAGACGGGUGAGUAACGCGUGGGAACGUACCCUUCAGUUCGGGAUAACCCACGGGAAACUUGGGCUAAUACCGGAUACGUCCGUAAGGAGAAAGGUUUACUGCUGAAGGAUCGGCCCGCGUCGGAUUAGCUAGUUGGUGGGGUAAAGGCCCACCAAGGCGACGAUCCGUAGCUGGUCUGAGAGGAUGANCAGCCACACUGGGACUGAGACACGGCCCAGACUCCUACGGGAGGCAGCAGUGGGGAAUAUUGGACAAUGGGCGCAAGCCUGAUCCAGCCAUGCCGCGUGAGUGAAGAAGGCCUUA
RNAcentral lists this ribosomal RNA (369 nucleotides) under uncultured bacterium. RNAcentral's name for it is "bacterial SSU rRNA". It matches the Rfam family "Bacterial small subunit ribosomal RNA", at positions 29 to 419 of the family's 1533-position model. The record is from RNAcentral.